Molecule: ribosomal RNA, 253 nt
Filed under: uncultured bacterium
Lineage: Bacteria
Description: partial 16S ribosomal RNA
Rfam family: Bacterial small subunit ribosomal RNA
Source: RNAcentral
GACGAAGGAUGCAAGCGUUAUCCGGAUUCAUUGGGGUUAAAGGGCGCGUAGGUGGCCUUAUAAGUCAGUGGUGAAAUCUCGCAGCUUAACUGCGAAAUUGCCAUUGAUACUGUAGGGCUUGAGUACAGUUGCUGUGGGCGGAAUAUGACAUGUAGUGGUGAAAUACAUAGAGAUGUCAUAGAACACCGAUUGCGAAGGCAGCUCACAAAACUGUAACUGACACUGAGGCUCGAAAGUGCGGGGAUCAAACAGG